CUACGGGCCGCAGCAGUGGGGAAUAUUGGGCAAUGGGCGCAAGCCUGACCCAGCAACGCCGCGUGAGGGAAGAAGGUUUUCGGAUUGUAAACCUCUGUCCUUGGGGACGAAGAAGUGACGGUACCCAAGGAGGAAGCUCCGGCUAACUACGUGCCAGCAGCCGCGGUAAUACGGUAGGGAGCAAGCGUUGUCCGGAAUUACUGGGCGUAAAGGGUGCGUAGGCGGCAUAUUAAGUCAGGUGUGAAAUACUCGGGCUCAACCCGGGGGCUGCAUUUGAAACUGAUAUGCUUGAGUGUGAGAGAGGAAAGUGGAAUUCCUAGUGUAGCGGUGGAAUGCGUAGAUAUUAGGAGGAACACCAGUGGCGAAGGCGACUUUCUGGCUCAUAACUGACGCUGAGGCACGAAAGCGUGGGGAGCAAACAGGAUUAGAUACCCCCGUAGUC
This 442-nucleotide ribosomal RNA is filed under the name uncultured bacterium. RNAcentral's name for it is "partial 16S ribosomal RNA". It matches the Rfam family "Bacterial small subunit ribosomal RNA", at positions 339 to 795 of the family's 1533-position model. The record is from RNAcentral.